UCCUCCUGCUGGACUUAGCGGGAGCCAGCCGGUAGACUUUGCGUUUUUAAAUUUACUCGUGAUCCAAAGCGUGAGACACCCUGUAAACCUGGAUCUUACUCUCGCCCGGGUGCCCCUGCGUGCCACCUGCAUGAGUACAGCUAGAAAGGCUCAGAGCAGAGCCAGCGGCACUGAACGAGUCUGCUACUGUUCAAAUAAAUCUCAUAGCAAAGCAAGAAUGUAUCCUGUCUCCUCCUAAAGCAGGAUCAUUUGGGUUCUCGCAGAAAAUUUGGUUUCAGUGAAGUGGAGGCAAGUUGUGAAACUGUUCUCAUUGAAGUGUUCCAAAGAAAAAGAGGAAGGCUGAAGUGCCUUUUCAUCAUUAGGAGAAAUCAAAGUGGAGGGAUGGGCACAUGGACAUCUGGAUACCCAGCUAAUAUGGCAUCAAGAUGCAGCUGAAACUUACACGCAGACCUAAGUGUGACAGCCCUGCCUAACUAACUUUGAUGCUCCCAUGACCUGAGUCAACAAAUAGCUUUAAGAUGGAUACUCCUCUCACUAAUGGUUUUCUACUGAUUCAGAACCUGGAAUGCUACCUUCAGAUUCUGGAAGCUGGCAAAAUUCAUAACCUGGCAAAAGGGGAAAUAUUCACAUAACUCUCGGCAAGAGACCAAAUCAAACCAUUCUUGUUAAUUGCAGGGGAGUUCAUGAGGACGUGUCUCUGCACAAUGGAAACCAGACUCCUUACUGACGCAUUGAGGUCCUGCGCAUAUCUGUAAAAAGCUCUGUUUCCUCAGAAAUCACGCCUGCCUCAGGCAUAAUGUCUUGGGAGCUCUGGGGAACUUUAGAUCUCUGGUAAUUUUAUGCUUCUGCUGAUCUGAGCUACUGAGGAGGCUUUUGCAAACAUAACUUCAGAUGACACGCACACAGUAAAUCCCUUCGGAACCUGGCUGGGAACCGCAUAAAAGGACGUGUGUCAGCGAUGAUACAAGGAAAUCAGGUGGAAGUUGAAGAGCUAGGCUACUGUCUUCAGAGUCAGGGUGACUGAAAGGCCAGAGAAGAUGCUGCAGGAAGACUUUCAAGCAACAAUAAAUAUGGAAGUUGUUUCCAACUCAAUGCUUUAAAAGCUUUAAUGAAAAGGCCUUGAUAUGAUCAACUUUGGUAGAGGAAUAAAAGUAGUAUUUCCACAAUAAAUAUUUUAUUUUUUAUGGUACUUUCUCUGAAAACCACCAACGGGAAGUGGCAGGAUUUGAUGACAACAUAGAUUUAAAAAAUGGUAUGAACUUAUCUAAUGGCAGAAGAUGAUGACAGUUUUUGAAGAUUGCCGACCAGUCAAGAGCUACUGGAGCCAGAUUACAAACCUUCGUUGCUUUUACUCUGAAGCUUGAUUACUUAAUGAAAAGGUCUGUGUGAUACAGUAGUAUCUGACACACGGGAACAGCCUCAAAAGCCUUUGAAGUCCUUUCCCCUUAAAUGUGCUUUAGAAGGUAGAGUAACAUGUUAAAACAAGAUCUUUGUGGUAGCUCCACGACAUCUGCAGGAACCUGUCUGCCCAGGACCAUCUGGCUUUCAGUGCUCCCCCUCUGUGGCUGGUUUGAGAAUGUGGGACUGGUCUCCUGUUUGUGUGAUACUAGACACUUCUGCAGGCUGCAUGACUUGUAAACGCAAUAAAACGAUCGACUCAUGAUGGCCUAAUCCAUCUCCUACCAAGAAAACGGAAAGACUCUUAAAUCUUCUCAGGGGCUGAAACUGGAUGAAUUUAUGAACAAGUCACAGAAAGUACCAAGUAUGGUCAAUGUCUGCACCCUGCCUCGCUGGGCUUGGUACAGGAUGAGCAGAAAAAGGCAAAUAAAGAGCUCUCAUUUCUGUGGGUACCAACCUGUUAUUGAUGCGGAUUCAGAUUUGGUCCUGGAAAACUUUUUAUUUGGGAGCGUAAGAAAGAUGGAGGUGGCCCUAAUCAAUCCCUGACUUGACAGGUUUUUGAAGAAACUAAGAAAAUAAUAAUGUGACAUUUUGCACAAGCAUGAACUGGGGUCCAUACAGGUAAUGAAUAAUGAAUGAAGCUUGUUGUAAUGAAUGAAACCAGGUUAAAGACAAAGCUGUCCCUGAGUGUCUUCCUCCUAAGGUCAAGACUGGUGGGAAUAAGGGAAGCUAAUGAACUUAAUCCUCAAGCCAGCUGUUAUACUGUUAAACAGUAUUUCCAAAGGCUGUUUCAGAAAAUAUAAACACAUUAAAGAAUAGCCAGAAAUCUAAUCUGCUCAGCAAUCAGAUUUCUCAGUUGUGUGUUGAAGGCAUAGCAACCUAAAUUACCCUUGAAACGACUCUAUUUCAAGUCACACAUGUUUCUGAGCUAUAUUUUUAGAAGACUUCAUACUAGCAGUACAACAACUUAUUCCAGACAAGGACUUAGCUUGGGUUUAUGUUAACAUAUAAUUUGUAAAAGUUUGUAAUAAACAUCCCUCACUGAGACUGGCAGAAAUUAUAGGAAGGAAAACACCACUUCUAACUUUGGGCUACUUGCUUUGAUUCAGCCCUCAUUGUGUUACGUUUGUUAUGUGAGCUUCAAAACUGCAGAAAAGUGAUGAAUCGUUGUGUAACUAAGACCAGAAUUUCCAAAGCAGCCUCAUCUUUUUAGAAACUCUCUUUUGAUUAAGGAUUUUGCCUUCCAGUAUAAAUAUUCACCACAAGCCUGAUGCUUAGAUCAGAAAGUAUACUAACAGGCUUUCAUCCCGAUAGGAAGAAACGUGCAAUGCAUCAUUCAAGACCUUAGGCCCAAGCUGGCAUCCUGUUACACACCCACUGAUGAAUUUUAGGGUGUACAGAAAGUGCCAACUGAAGUCUUACAAAUAAACACUUAGUGAAUAUAUAAAUACAGUAAACAGGAAAGAAAAAUACCAGCAUGCAUCCUGGUGGUCAGUCAGAAAUGACUACUCUUCUCCAGCCAGUUUUUAUAUCCUUUAGGAUAAUAGGGCCAUCGUUAUUUUCCCAACACUUUUCAGCUUGUGGUAAGAGAUAGUUUUCCCUCUGUUAGUCACACAAACUAAAAGCAGAUCCGUAAUCUCAGUUUAGCUGCAUGUGGAAGCUGGUCUUGUUUGUAAAUGAUGAAAGGAAACCAGGCAGGAACCUAAUUUACCAAGUUUUUCUGCAGAAGCAUUCAGUUUCUCCAGGGUUUCACUUUCUUCCACACUGACCAGCUUCUCUGCACUGGAUAAAGUUUUUGAAUCCCUCAAAAUACCAGUUUAUCACUGGUACAAUUCAGGAGCUUAAAAAUUAAAGCAUGCAUCAAUGCCUUUGAAAGUAUGUUUUAGGAACUCCUGUGAUAUUGCACCUUGUGUGUGUGUUCGUUUUAUUAUCUAAAACAUGGUAGAUGGUUUGGUCAAAAUUGCUGGUGACACCGAGCAAGCUCAUAGCGGGAGAAUCCACUGCUCUGAAGAGCCAACAAUUUAAAUAAUCUAAAGCUAUGUUUCUUGUUCUUCCAAAAUAAAGCUUAAUCUAUUACUUAACUGCCCAGGAAGCUACUGUUCAAACGGUAAUAGACAACCUUGAAUUAAGUGGAAAAGAGAUGUUGGUAUAAAUUAAAUAAAUAUUUACUUAUAAUAAAGGGUGGCAUUUUAAUAAUUAGUGAGAAGUCUUGUGUUUAUAGAUUUUUUUUAUAACAUAGUAUGUAAGUAAUGAAAACAAAACAUUGAUUAUUCAAUACACAAAAGCCACUUUUAGAGGUGCAACAGAUGGAGAGUGCCAGAGCCAGAAGAGAGUAUUUUUAAAAAGCAGUGUGAUCGUGUAAUUAAAUUGAGUGGAUUAAGUAUGAGAAUUCACAAACAUUCAGGUGAGUUAGGUUCUGUUCUCACUGACAUUGGAGAAAUAAUGAAAUUUCUGUUUCCCUGCGUGUACACACUGUUUGGAAAACCAUUUAUUAAUGUUGAAAUUAAUAGCAGCACGACCAUGCGUUCAGCAAGCCCAAAACUGUAACAUGACUUGAAUGAUCAGUCACAAAUAACAAAGUGAUUAUGGGGGCAAACAGAACAGCAGAAGCUCUACUAAAAUGCUGAAAAUUUACAAGUGUUACCUCGUUAACGUUUGUCUCAUAGGCAAGACCAAACCAGUAACAUGGAAGUAUGGCAGGAAGGUGAGUGGGAAGAAAAGGGAACGACUGACUUUUUCAUAAUUAUAGUGCUCCACAAAGCUGGAUAUGGUUCCACCUCCUCCAAGUCAUUGUCUCAGAAGACUAUAUUCUCUCCUUAAAUAAAUAAAUUCAUUUUAAAAACCUCUAAGAAUCUCACCAAGGACUGUGUGCCUGUCUACAUAUAUGUGUGUUUGUAUAUGCCAAGCAAACUGAUGGUUCUUUGAGAUGUUUCAGCAUCCUUGAUGCUGGAUACUGCUUUGUUUUAAAUCAUCUCUACCAUAUUUUUUUCAAUCAGAUCAAGACGUUUAUUUUUAAAGAUGCUUUCUACUAAAUGGAUAGCCAGAGAAAGGCUACAUCACACGCAGAGCCAGCCAGCUCCUGCCUAAAAUGCACAGAGCACACGUUGCACUAGUCCUUGCUCUUUGAUGUAAUUCCUAUGGCUUACUAGAUACAGAAAAGUAGCUACCCGUAAUCAGACCUUAGGUGGAAAAGCUGAAACAGAUAAUUUGAUAAACUCAGGGAAAAUGAAGCGGCCAAGAAUCAUUAUAGCGUCUUUCCCAAUGAUAACAGUAGUUAGGCUUUCCAUUUGCCCAGAGGUACCAUACAUACCUGUUGAAGCCGCUCAUAUCUUCUGCAGGCACAUGGCUGCUUUGCUGAUUCCUGAAGUCCCACAGCCUCUCUGUUUACUGUUUUAUAGCGAGUUCUUUUUCUGUAUUAAGUUCACAUGUAAAUGGGGCAGCUUUCACGUAGUUUUGCAAGUAUGUGACCAGCCACGCUGUCUCAAAGAAACAGCCAGUUUUCUUGUUGGUUUAAAUUGCUGUAGGUCUUUAUUGGCUUGAAUAUCUUCCUCUUUACAAGCACCCUUCUGUCAAAGAAACUGAGGACAGCUUGCUUACUCCCCAGACAUCCUGCAAAGUCCUGUAUGAACUGGUCUCCUGCAGCCCACAGGUCUCACAGCAGCAGUUCAGUCAGGUGCUCACAUUCUACUCGGACCCCUGUGUUUCUCACGCUGAUGUUGAUGGUCUCUUUGGAGAACAAUAGCAGGGAGAAUGGAUGGCUCAAAACAUUAUUGCUAGGCUUCUGAAGGCUUUGCUGUUGGUUUUGUAGAGUCAUGAGGGUAUUAACAAUGCACUCCCUACUACUGCUAAUUCACCUUGUGGCUGAAACCCACAGCUGACGUUGAAGAGUUCAGCCCUCUAUUUAGCUAAUUUGGUCCAAGCCAGGCUGGUGGCAACUGAAAGCUAUGCACAGCUGAUAGCUAUAUCCAGUGGUCAUUUGUGAAAAUUGCUUUAGUGGCCUCCGUCCAAGUUUUACCGACAAAACAUCAGUUUCUCAAAAUAUUUUCUCCAAAAUAGCUGCUUGCCAAAAUUUUGGGGGCAACCAAGGGUUUAAAGACAAGAAAGGUGAACUUGUGUCUUCCCUAGAAGUAUUCUUUGUAUGCCAGCAAUGAAGUGCCCAGGGGCACUUUUGUGUUAAGCACCACCCAGGUUGUCAAUACAGAACUUCUGUCCACAGAAAUACCAAAUCGAGUUGAUACGGGUUUCCCACUCAUCCAAAACCACUUUCCCACCAGGCAGAAGAGAUCACAAAAUUAAACAGCAUUCCCUCCUUCUCACAUCUCUGCAGUUUGUAAGCACUGUGCCUGUCAUAAUUUUCCCAGGAGGUUUCCUUAACCAUAAUGUCUCAUCCCUGCAAGCAGCUGCUUCCUUUUUGCAUGAGAGAUCUUGGAGACUUGCCUCACUUAUCAAAACUAAACCACUGAAAAGCUAGUAAAUAACUAAGCUCUAUGGGGAAGACGAAAUCCCACUGUAGAUGGACAGAUUUGCUUAGCCUAUAAAAUAAUUCUGGAGCAAGUAUUGUUUUGGAAAAAUUCUAAAAUGUAUCAAAGUUUGAUCGUUCUUGGCUUGUCCUAAUUUGCUUACUCUGGGGUUAUAGCUGACCCUCAGUAUGCACGUUCGUCCCAUUACUGUUAACAGGAGUUAAAUAUAUACACAUAUCUAAGAGAGACUUGACCAUUUACUCUCAGUGUUCCAAGGUCAGCUGAAGUCUGGACCUUUUACUUUCUCUAUGCUCCACUAAUUAAGAACAAAGCUUAUGCAAGACCUCCUCGGGGAACAUGGGCUCGGAGGUUUUUACAGUCCACAAGGCUAAAAUUCAGAUGUGAACCACAGCUGUUUGGACAGGAGUCUUGGACCUCUUUGUUUUGAACUAUAGUGACCUGCUCAGCCUUACCAACACGUGAAACUGAAAUCCCCACACAGCUAAUGAGUGGGAUGUGAAAACUGCCUGGCAGGCAGAACUCGGUAAAGUGACCGAUUUAUAGUGCUCUGGGAUUUGCAGGUGGAAGGGCUGUCUUUUCUCUUCAUCUCUCCCCCUCACUCCCUCAUGUUUCAAUACACAUCAUUUCAUCCGCAUACAUCUAUGCGUAUGUGUAGAUCUGAAUCUAUGUUCGCCAUCCAACCAGCUGACCCAAUGUUCUUGUUGCAGAUGGUCAGGUUCCUCCCUUCUGCCAAGUACAGGUAUUUUUAUGAAUCCCUGGUAAGAGGUAAAAUAAAAAGGGAAACAGAGUGUGGGAUAAACCAGUCAUUCAAUCUAAGUAAUGAUAGACCUCCAGUGCCCCAACACUUUUACAUACAUUCUAUACACCCAUGGUAGUGCAUAUAUUUUGAACUAUAUAAUACAUAUAAAAGUGUCAGCUGAACCUUCCCUUUGAUUUAAUUGCAAUUACACAAAUAUUCAGAAUAUCAGCAAUGAGUAAUUUUGCAGAACUGGGACACGAUAUGCUGUAUAAUAGUUAAGCUAUUUGAAUGGACUGGCAGUCCACCUUCCAGUGGCCAUUGUGGCUUGGAUCAGGUGAUGAUCUCAGUGGAGGCCGCUUGGCUGAUACUGUGUUUUUCUUGAAGUCAAUGAUAGCUUGUCUUAUACCCCCUUAUAUUUAGAAUCCAAUUCCAUUACCUUCUUUGCGAAGACUGUAGGUAUUCUAUAUAUUAAUGGCUGAUUGCAGCAAGAAAAAACAUAUCUUGAUCUGAUCAGAGCAUCUGACCUUUCACAUUCAUUGCAAACCACGUCAAAUACUACGGAAAGACUGCAGAAAAAAUGCAAUUCUUUAUGUAGUGAUAUAAUGAAUAUCUUUGUGUAUCCAAGAUAAUAGGAAUUCCAGCAUUCGUGCUUACUGUAAAAUAUAGCAAGCAAAGGCUAAGUAAAUUCUGUUUUAAUACGGAAAUAAUUUUGACUGCAUCUUUGGCUUUGUAUGACAUGGAAACUGGUGAUUGUUUAUGCUUUGCUACUUUUUUUGGUCUGUGUUAAGAUCCCACAUGAGAAACAAAUUUUUCUCUAGGAACAAAAUGUUACUUUUUUGGGACUGAGUUCUAAUUAGUUGGGUAGUACGUCUGUUUCUUUUCAGUUGGGAAAACGCAAUGCAUAUAAAAUCCAGAUGGAUAGCACAUGAUGCUGGAACCAGUCCCAGCCAAUCAGCCACAUCACUUGAUUAAAAGAAACCUAUAAGAAUUUAAGUAAAAAACCAAACCCAACAAGAUAGCAAGAGCAGCAAACUGGCUGCACUAUGGGAUUUCAUCAAAGCUCACAGAGUGCUUCUCUUUUGCUGGUUAGCCUCCCCACACCUUACUGAAAGUUAACCUGCAGUUGUAUUCAAUUUAAACUUGUGUAGGAUUUGUGACUAAGACCCUGAAUACCAAUGGUGCAAGACAUUUGGUAAGUGGGAUGGGGAGGAAAUUCAUCACCAGACUACAUCAGGCCACAAGGACAACAGCUUUAAGGCAACGGGCUCUUUGAAGGAACUCAGCUGAGAGAAACGCAACAGAAAUCCACCCCGGCACAAACCGUAAUAUUGCACAGCAAUUCUUUUUUGUAUGGAUUUUGUCUGUGACUGAACAGUCUUUCAGAGAGCAAGCAAGCACUGCUCACAGCCUCACUGUGUGCAAAACCUCCUGGGGUUUCACCAGGUCGAAGGGUGAGAUUUUUGGAGGGGUCUAACGUGGGUUCUGAAGAAGUUUGAAGGAGAGGCAGGCAGGCCUGGUGGAGGGAUGGAGAGGCAUCUGGAAUCCCUACAGGCAACUGCAGGAAUGUUUAUUAUUCUUUGUUUAUUAUUUUGAGUGUGUGCUCUCUUCCUCUCUUUGUCUCCCUUUGUUAUUUGUGUAAUAAAAUUCCUCUAGGCAUAUAAAGUCAGUCAUCUGGAAUUGUGCAACUCUUUCUGCCAGGAAGCUGGAGAAGCCCCUCUCCUGUGCAGAGAGAAAAGUACAAGCUCAUCUCAGCGACUGGGAAAUUACAGAAAUACAGAAUACAGUUUGUCUUCAGGUUACAUUUAUAUAGCAAAGAGCUGUGGCAAAUAAUUGUGCGCCUUGCUGUUAAACGUUCUGUUUCAUCCUGUCCAAGGCGGUAUGUUUAUAUAAAGCUUGAGAAAUAAUUUGUACAUUUUAAAAUAAAGCAUGCAAAAUACGUUAAAAAGGCGCGGUGUUAAAAUUGCCAGUGGGUGCAGAGAAGGAAAAAAAAAAAAAUAAGUAGAGAGGAGCAUCUUUACAGCCACAUGGCUAGUGAAAUUUUCUAUUUAUUCUUUGGGGAAAAGGCAAAGCAGCUGCCCAGCUGCUGGUUGGAUAGGUGCCGGUACUAUUUUUAUUGGCAGGCAACUCUGAGUGGCUGAAAGGUGGUCAUUAACACCCUGACACAAAGUGCUGACAGGGCGAUUAUAAGAUUAACACCCUAUGUUAUAUUAACAGUGUCAAAACCUCCCCUUACCUGUCAGUGAGAAAUAAUGGCAUGAAGGAAAACAUUAUAGACAUACUGAGAUUUUAACAUUAAAAUGCCACACAGCUACUAACUUUUCCAAUUUGGUCUAAGUAUCUAGAUGACCUCCUACAGGCCAAUCUUAAAUUAUAGUUUCACAGAAUAAAAAAAUGAACACAACAGCUAAACUACAAGUUUUGUUUUUCUCUCUUGAUGGCUUUUAGACUUGAUCUGCCUGGAAGUGGGUCUUUCACAGCUGUUGCUACUAGACUUUUGGUUUGAGGUCUUGGAAGCUCAGGGGUUUAGGACUUAGGACUUGAUAAAUUUGACAAACAGAACUUUUCUAGAGAAACAUAUUGCUGAUAUGCAAGGCAAAAUUUGGGUAGGAUCUUCCCACGGGUUGACUAGUUAUCCCAGACAGCACUAGAACGUGACAGCCUUGGGACCCGAAGGAGACGUCUGCAUUUGAAAGUGUUUCUGCUCCCUGGUCACAGGAACGGGAAGGGCAAACCCUCUAGCACGGCUUCAGCUAACCUGGUUUAUACUGCUCAGGCUUCUGUCAGUUUGAUUAAAUAAAAUAAGCCGGGGCAGCAAGUUCUUCCUCUAGCGCUAGACCUAUGCCUUCGUUGGUAAAAAAAUAUUUCAUUGUGUUCCUGAAUUGUACUACCAUUUCAAUCUUUAAGAACUAAAAUGACGUUAUGCUUUAGCACCUGGGAAAAGGAAGGGGGAAAAAAGAAGGGGGGAGGGGAAGAGGUCCAACUACAUACAGAGCCUUUCCAGAGCUUUCUAAAGCCUGCUAGAGGAGUGCCCCGGCGCUCAUUUUGGCCCUGCAUAAACCGCACAUUUCCAGCAGUGGUGGAAUGGCCACUCUGGAGCUGGCAACGCUGUGGAUGGCAGAGCUGUCCCAGAGGCUGUGCCUGCAGGGGCCCCCAGGCCUCCCGCCCCCUCUGCCAGCAAGAUUUGGGCUCCACGAGCUCUGCCAAAAUUCCCCAUACCCGCUCCAAUAGGCUUGGCCACUCACCUGCCUGUUUUUAUUCCACAAAUGUCCCCCUUGCAGCGUAUGUGCGCUGUGCCGUCAGUGAUGUGCCGUGUGAUUCCUUUAGCUUCGGGUCUCCAGGGUGCUUACCUUCCUAUUGCCCAGGUUUUGCAAGCUCACACAUUCUUUCUAUAUAGUUUUCUUAUUACAUGUUAUAUUGUAUAUAAUGAUAGUAUAUUCUAUAUGCUAUGUAUGUCUGUAAGAGCUACAGAUAGAACGCAUAAUAUGUAUUCUUUAUGUACACCUCCGUUUCUAAACAAGAUCAAGAUACAGUGAAAGCACCCAAAACACCAGGAAGGGUUUACGUGUUGCAUAAGAAAAGUUCAGUAGUUUUUAAUCAAGAUUUUUGGGAUUUUCAGAGAGUUGCAAUGCCAUCAUAUCAUGAUAGCUUAAAGUCUAUUGAAAUCCCUUAACAAAGUGUAUGUAGUUAACUUAGGACUUGUUACAAAUUACUAAAGCGCCAUCCGAAAAGUUCAAAUGUCUCGGAAACAGAUCCAACAGAAACAUUUAAUAACUAAACAAGAAUAAAGGAUGGAUUUAUGACUGCUGUUUAGUUUGGGGUCUGUUGGAAGUCAAUGCAAAAAAUUCACAAACGCUUUCAGACCUUCUGUUAAACGAACACUGCCUGCAGAAAACUGAGUAUUUAUUACGGCAACUGAUGUGAAUUGCCAAAGGUAGGGAGUUUCCAAUAAAUAGGACUCCAGUUUUAAGAACAACCUGUUAAAGUAUUUGUAUGUGUCAUUUUAUUACAGCAUCUGCUUUAGCUGAAACCAAGGUCUCCAGGGCAAUUCUGAACUUUCAAGUCAUCUAUAGAAUCAAAUGUUUUCAUCUACAUAUCUUUUUUACUUCAAAAAAAUGAAAAAUAUUACAUAAUUCAGAGAAAAUUAUGUUUGAUCAUGUUUCAUUGAUGAUAUUCAUGCAGUUUUCCAUGCUGACAAGAGUCUCAGAAUAUUUUCUGAAAUGUUAGAAAUGCCUUUAGAGAUUUUUGGCAUUUCACAAAAUCUGAGUAAUUUUUCAAAACAAGGAACAGUCUAGAAACACUGCCAAGUUAGUUGGGUACUGAGUGGUCUAAUUUAUAAUGAGAUCAGGUGGCCACUGAAAAGACACUCAAGUGAUGAGAUCUUGCACACAUUACAGUUUCCUGGGAAUUCAAGCAGUAUAGAAAGGCUUUGCUUACCAAACGAAUGGCAUAUUGCUCUCCGUUGACUUUAGCUGCAGAAUGUUUAACUACACUGGUUUAGCUGUUCAGCAAAGGUGUAUUUCACUCUGCUUUACUUUGCUUUUAGUAACAGCUCUGAGUUACUUUGUGGGAACCCUGUGUCCUGUUUAUCUCUCUCUGGAAGUAAGCAAAACUCCCGGUUUCAUAGGAAAGGGAAGAUCGGGCAUCUGUCCUGUCCAAAGAGCCUCUCUCUCUGCUGGGUGAGAAAGAGAUGAGCUCUUCGAGCAUUGCUUCUGCUGGGAAGUAUUAAGAGGGAGUUAUGGGCUUGGUAGGGCUAAAAUCAGCGAUCAGUACGUGCCACAGAUUUGUGGCUCUGAGCACUGAACGGGAGCAGAGCAACAGGCUGUGUCUGCUAAUCCUUAUCCCUUUCUUUCUGCACAUCUUCUGUGUGACAAAGAGGGAUCACGGGUCACAUUCGGCCCCAGCCCCAGCCCUUCUUUCACAGUUGUGAAUCAAGACACACUUUGGCAAAGCCGGGGUGGCAGUCACCAAAAAAAAAAAGCCACAGCACAAUGAAAGCCACCAAAUAGUUAAUAAACUAUGAAAUCAUGUGUAGUAGACAUGAGAGUGGGAGGAGAACUACCCAAGACCUUAUUUACAAAGGAGUAAAGACAUAAAAGAUGACCUUCUGUGACCACUAAAGGAAUAACUUCAUCAGGACAUAAUUGUGCCAGAACAUGACCAGACGCUUGCAUGUCAAUCACGCUGAAGUGCCGGAUACAGUAGUCAUUUGCAAGAGGUUUUGAAUGAAGGAGGUGGAUCAACUUCAAUUUUUGCUCUUUCCAUUUUUUAAGCGCAUAAACAGAAUGCUCCUGCUGUCCGUUUUAUACUAUAAAGAAAACCCUUUACACCUAUCAGUGACACCAUGGUGAACUGCAACAGCAACACAAAAGCAAAAGAAUUCCUGCUUAGACUACUGCAGCUUGGAGAUGAGUCAAAACUGGAUAAAGUAUUGAACGGUGACUACUGUCAGCAGCUGACUUCUGCCAAAAGCAACCUUCACAGAUCCAGAGUGGGAAGUUUACAUCAUCAAAAACAUCCCACAAGCAUAAUGGAUGCAAUUCAAGCACUACCCGCAGGACUGCUUGGUGGCACAGAACUACUGACACCCACCACAUCGUAUCAACACAGAAUAGCUACACAGACACACGUCCUGAAGACUUUCCCAUCCCCUCUCUGCAAGCUGAAGUCUAGGUUGUAUAGCAGGCAAAAUACUUCCAUACUUGAGGAAAGGAACAAAAAGUGAAGUGCCUAUGGUACCUCUGUUGGCUUCUUUACUAUUGUGGCUAUUUGUUUAUUAUCGUUUGUCAAGAUUUACGGCUGUUUAGAACAAAACAAGCACUGGUUUUGAAAGGUGGCUUAAUGAAAGGAACAAGUUUCAACUUUGUUCCCUGCUUUCAUACAAUCAGAGGUUAUGUUUAUUUAGAAAGCUAACAUUUAUACAGAUUAUGCACUCUCAGUGGUUCUAUGCCAAAAAACACAUAAGUAAAAUGGGUCUUUCCAUCACUCUCUCAGUUUUGACCUAUGAUUGUUUUUGCAGGAACUGGAUCUUUUAAGCAAUAGCCUCUGGUAGAGCAAGAGGAAAGCAUGGCACCUUGUGCAAUAAUUCGCAAACCACUGCUUGAGCAAAAGGAUACACAAAAUGUACUUGAAUCACUCAGCUGUCCAGACUACUCCAAACGCUAUUUGAUUAGGAUAAUUGCCAGUGAGAGUGGGAAAGGUCAUCAAGCAAAGCUAGAUGAUGGAGGAAGGUCACCAGUUUAAAGUCAAAUUUUUACAUAAUGUGAGACUUUGGAUUGAUUAAGCCAUCCAACAAAAUUUCCAAAGUAUUAAAAAGAGUAAAAUGAGAAUGAAUAGAUGGCAAAUUGACCUGGAAAAGUCACUGAAUAAUUAUACAAGUUGUAAAUUUGCUUUUGUUGUACGUGCUCCUCAUUACCCUGCUAUUGAAAAUGUUUGAAAUAUUGCUAUUUUUUAAAUGAGCAGGGUCUUAAGAAAGAAAUGUUUGUCUCACGUUUGUAUGCAAGUGUAUAUUUUAAAGUCUUUUUAAAAAUUGACUCACAGCAAAAAUGGAAAAUUAUUAUGCUCAGAAGGAUCUACCUGGUCGCUUUCCUGCUAUUAACAGAUUGUCUUUCAGAGGAAAUACCCAGCCUGGCAAACGCCACUUAUCAUUCAGUGAGUAUAUAUGAUACAGAGAGGCAUGUGAUUAGAGAGUGCUUCAAAACUCUGAUUUUAAUCAGUUGAAUAUCUUUCAUAGGAGACAAUGGUUUUCCUAUGGAACCAUUCUACAAAUUGAAAAUAUAUAUAUAUAUAAAAAAGUCAUUCUGCUUUCCAAUAUUUUUCCAGCUGAAAAAGUGACAAAGCUUAAGGAUGUGAUUCCGCUCCCUCCCCUCCCCAUAUUGUCUCGCUUUCUAAAAGUUUUCCAACUGGCAAAACAGUCGGUGUUACUUUGUGUUCUUUCCUGCCUUUAGAAAGAAAAUAAGUUUAAAGUACAGGAAAGCCCUGUUUGAAAACAGUGCUGGUAUUUCUCCGUUUUGAACUAUUUUUGGCAAAAAGAGUAGCAUCAAAUUAUUUUUUCUUUUCACAACUAUGAAAUGAAAAAACUCACUAGUUCAGAAAACAUGCCUCUCUGUAACAUCUUCCCCAACUUCCCAGAAGCAUAUUUUUAACUUGCAGUUAUUUUUCACUUGCCUUUAUGCAGCACUUGAGACUGCUCAACUAUGAGCAGUUGAGAGUCGGAGUCUCUCAACAGAUUUUUUGGGUAUUUUCCUUUAAAUAGAGAUCUGUAGGCUGAUUUGCAUCAGCAAAGCGUUCAUUAAAAAGGAUUAAGCAUGGUUAAGUGCCACAGCCCCAUGAAAGAAAGCGAGGCUAAAAACCACGCACCUUGUCUCCAUUGACAGUGUCAACCCAAGCAUCCUAAUUUGUCCCAUAUAUCAGGAAACCUAAAACUUUUAUAAUGUAGCCCAAAUUACUACUUCAGCAGGUGAGUAAAUAAUCACUGUUGACUUCUCCCCUGCACAACAUUUACUUCAGGGUUAUGCGUUGGUGGCAUAAAAUGGUCUGUAAUUGGGGGUCAGGAGGGCGAGGGGUGGCCAGUCAGCUUUUCCUCCUGCUCAGCCAUUCCUGCCUUUCCCCUAUUCCUUCCCAAAGCAAGAUUUAAGCAGCUAACUCACUUUGUUUUGGCCCUGGAUGGAAGGGGGUGUAUGUGGUGGAUGACCCAGGGCUUCUUUCAGCAGCUGCAGGCACGUAACUCCCUUAGCACGGGGUUUGGGACCACGGGUGGGGGCAGACGUGCCUUAGCCCUGCUUGGGGAAGCCUCACAGUGUGGAGAAGCACCCCCAGACCCAAACUAGUGGAAGAAAAACUUGACCUGGAAAGACAGCAGGGAUUCCUUUCAUCUCCCGUGAUUGCAUUUUCAUUGAGGGUGAGGUAGUUGGGCUCCUUUCUGUCAAUAGCUGCUCCCUAUUUCAGAGACGGAGCUAAAAGCUGCUAAGUGACAGCAGGAUCCAGAGGCGGGUGAACCUGCUCUGCAUCUUCCCAGAACAUGCACAGCUGCCUCAAAGUGAAGAAAAUGUUGCAAUUUAAUUUAUUUGCUGAGCUGCCCCAUUUCAUCGGGCAGGGUUACCCCUUUCCACCGUGUCAUGUAAGUGCUGCAAUUAACUGGCGUGCUGCUACAAAUAAAGAUUUCUCUUCAAACAAAGGAGAGGAGGUUUCUGACUUUCAAUAUAUUUUUGAUCACCUGCAAUCCUACAAAGUUUACUGAAGCUGUUGUAGAGUUCAGCAGCCUUUCAUCCUGUAAUUACAUGUUGUGUCUCAAGAAUUAUAUUAAAGCUGGGGAUGGAAGAUUCUCAGAAGACUUAACAAAUAACUGAAAUGCAUAAGACUCUCUUUAUUCAAAAAAUCUGCCUGGAAAGCUCAUAAGAAAAGGCUUUCCUGCAAGAUUUUCUAUACUUCCUACUUGAAGGCAGGCUGGAAAUCUGAGAAGAGCCUUUCUGUUCCAGCUAAAGUAGGUAGGUGCCAGGGUUUUAGGAGACUGAAGGAGAGGCAAGGGGAGGAAAAUGGAGAUACACCUUUUUCUUCAGAAAUUCAGGUUCAUCUUGAGUUUUUGUUAAAAGUUAAGAUUCACUUUCAUUUUGUCUGAAAAAAAUUUCUUCGCUUUUAUUUUGUCUAAACCAUCUGGCUGAAGUACAGCAUGGGCUGGGCUUGCCUGAGAAGUCACAUUGAAUUAAUAAGUCUAUUCACUAAGCAUAAGUUGAAGCCUGUUUGUAAACCCCUGCAAGAGCUAAUCUGCUCUGUGCACCUCUUGCCAAGGCACACGGGAACCUCUCCUGCACUGCACGGAAGACCAGCUCAGCCCACAUUAUCUGAGAUGUGCUUGCACUGGGCUUGACCCAAGUCCAAAGCUGAGCUGUACUUCCAGGAUGGCCUUUGGUCCAGGAACAUCAGUCAAUACGAACUUUUUUUGAUGUGUGAUGCUACUUUUUCCAAAAGAACAAAAGAACUCUGCUUGUGUUAUUUAAGACAGCUGUGGUUCAGUUUUUAAGGUACUGACAUAGGCUCCAUAACUGAUAACCACUCGACAGCUUGGAAACUAUGACUUGAAAUUGGCUAGUUCUUGAAUGGGAGGGAGAUCACCUGAGACCUUAAGCAGAAAUUAUGGCAUGAAAGGCAAAGCGUCUGGCAAAUCCUUUACUGUGUUUUCAUCUCUGCGGAGGAAUACACUAUAGAGAGGUGGGCAAAAUGUGCUUAGGUACCUGUGAUACAGAGUAAGACUCCUCCAGAGCAGUAGAUGUGCAGCCACAAGUACAGUUUGAGUAA
This is a long non-coding RNA of Falco peregrinus (peregrine falcon), 15909 nucleotides long. RefSeq lists it as uncharacterized. The record is from RefSeq and is a predicted model, not a curated record. The transcript is spliced from 9 exons. Lineage: Eukaryota; Metazoa; Chordata; Aves; Falconiformes; Falconidae.